Physeter macrocephalus (sperm whale) is the source of this 1706-nucleotide long non-coding RNA. RefSeq lists it as uncharacterized. The transcript has 3 exons. The record is from RefSeq and is a predicted model, not a curated record. Lineage: Eukaryota; Metazoa; Chordata; Mammalia; Artiodactyla; Physeteridae.
GGGCCCGUGAGCCGAGGCCGCAGCCUGGGCCGCGAUCCCUUUCUAUUUUCUUGUCUCCUGGCUGAAGCCGCCCCAGCUGUCUCCCGGGUCCAGGAUACAGCCAUUUCUCCAGUGAGCAUUUUUAAGUACCUACUGUGUGUCUGUUCUGGAGUCACUACAGUGACGUGUGAGGUGAGCUACGAAGGGUGAGGCCUGCCCCCGGACUGUCCUGCAGGGCAGGCCCUGGGUGGUGGAAAUAUCAUCAUGGACAAACCAGAUCAAGCAUUUCCCCCCUGUGAACUUGCAUUCUGAGUGGAAGACAGACAAUAAACACAAGCACCAAGAUAUUCCUAAUGCUCUGCCUGGCAGUGGUCUGCACUGUGAAGAAGACAGGGGUCGAGGUACAGGGAUAUGGCAGGGGUGACAUCUCAGACACAGUGGUCACAUGCACUUUCCAAGGCAGGUCUGGGCAGAUUAAGAAACAGACCGAGGUUGAAGGCCCAGCCCAAAGCCGCCCAACAAAUCCAAGGCUAGAACCUGGGUCUGCAGCACAGGACCCUUGACCCACAGCUGGUGGAGCAGCCACAGAAGUCCCCUUUACCUCUGGCUAAAGGAUGCGCCAACCUAAGCCGCCUGCCCUCAUCUCCGCCUUGGCCUGUGCACUGGAACGCAGUCUGGAUUGGAGGGAGGAAGGGUUGCGGCUGCCAGGGUAACGCAGCUUCCAUUCCUGACAUCCGCCAGGGCCUCACAUCCACCUCACAUCUCUCUCACCCCUCCCAACCGCCUAGCAAGGUCAGUAGCAGCCCCAUAAUUUUCACGGAGGUGAGAUUCACGUAACAGAAAACGAACCGUUUUAAGGUGAACAAUUCAGUGGUAUCUAGCACAUGCACAGUGUACACUCCCACCCGUACACAGCUGCAAAUCAUUUUCACCAGCCCAGAAAGAAACUCAUGUCCAUUAAGCAGUUGCUCCCCGUCCCCCCUCACCCCAGCCCCUGGAAACCACCAGUCUACUUUCCAUCUCUAUGGAUUUGCAUAUUCUGGAUGCUCCAUGUAUCCAGACCUUUGUGCCUGGCUUGUGUCACGUAGCCUGUAUUCAAGGUUCACCCACAUUAUAGCACAGAUCCGUAUUCUGUUUCUUUUUAUGGCUGAAUACUGUUCCAUUGUAUGUAAGCAUCUCCAUCGUACAGACGAGGAAACAGACUCGGGGCAAACAAGCAACACCCAGAGGUCACAGCCUGUCGGUGGCAGAGCAGGCCUGGAUCCCAGCCUGAGUCCACACCGUGGAAACCUGGCCACGCGGGCCCGCACCCCAGAGGGCCCCAGCCUAGCCCUGCGUCCCAGGGUUGGGGAGGGCUGCCCCUGCAGGCGGAUGCGGGCUCCCCCCCGGUGUGGCCCAGCCUCUUCUCAGCACAGGUUCACAGGUGUGGGCAAGGUGGCCUCCCACUCACCCUGCUCCAGGCUGGGCCGGAGCGUGGCCGAAGAGGCCACCUCCUCGAGUGGAAUUCCAGGUCCCGGCCAACCGCAGGUCAGGGCACUCCUGGGCCCCAAACCCUCCUUCUCAACUGAGUCAUGAGGCUGUGAGGCGCCUCAGCCCUGGGGCAGCCUGGUGGGCCGGCCAGGUCAGGAGCACUGUCCCCAGACAGCCGAUGGUCCUGGGCAGAGCUGCUCACCCACCCAGCAAGUGGAUACCUCAAUGCACAAACGUUUAUUAAGCACCCAUUCUAU